Felis catus (domestic cat) is the source of this 2064-nucleotide long non-coding RNA. RefSeq lists it as uncharacterized. NCBI's taxonomy places the organism in Eukaryota, Metazoa, Chordata, Mammalia, Carnivora, Felidae. The record is from RefSeq and is a predicted model, not a curated record. The transcript is spliced from 3 exons.
UAGAAUUCUGCAGAACUGAGCUGUGGUUGCAAGUGAGAAACAGGCUGGUGGGCCCCCAUGGCACUUGACUCUGCCUGGCCCUGGGUGCUUCAGGGAGAAGAAGCCUGCAGUACGGCCUAGAAUCUUUCCUGCCAGUACAGUACACCAAGAGCCUUGCCCCCUUUCUUCUCUUGCCUUCAGAGCCACCUCUGCAGCAAACCCCAGGCUGAGAAGUGCUCUGGGGACCUGGGCUCCACCACUGGGUUGCACCAGCAAGGAGGGUGCAGCUUCCUUGGUGAACUCGGUUGAGGCAGAGGGAAAGAAGGGGCACCCUGGCUGUGUUUGAAGAUGUGUGGUCCACAACAUAUACCACUUACUUGAUUGUUUCCUGAUACCUGAAAACAGUAAAGAUAUACAUGUUACGUGAAAAUGUACCGUAUUGAAAAAUAAAAACACAACCCACAAAUUGCACAAAAAUUCGUAUAAGCAUGAUUAUUUUACAAAAGGAGGCAAGAGCGCAUUAGAAACGGGGUGUCAUAUGAUUGAAACAGUUUGCAACGCAUAAAUGUUUCUAACACUCUCCCAGAAUUCCUGCCUGGUUUGUUUAGAAUCCAGAUGGUCCGCAUUGUGUAUUUUCAUGUAACCAGCCAUCCUAGCUGCUUGGGAAUCCUGUGAUGAAGGUCACUAAACCGACUGCUGGCUUCACAAUAGACAAAUGACAGAAAAUUAGGCAUGAAGAGAUGACAGAAUCUCCUUCCUUUCCAUACUAAACGUCUUGAAUGUGAAGACUUGCUAUCAAUUUUAAGAGGAAAGUUUUUUGUUGGAGGAGAGCUAGGAUUAAAGCUAAAUCCUCUAAGUCUCCAAAUCCCAGGCUCUUUCUACCACCUGACAGUGUCUACUAAUAACAAUAUGCAAUCUCGAGGAUCAAGGACUUGUGAUUUCCACAUGAACCAGGUUAACAAUAACAGAGCUGGAGUAAGCACAUUCAAGUGAACUGAGAUGGACUGGAACUCCUUCACUUGUUUAAAGUGAGUUUGUAGUCUUUUUGGACUGUUUGGUCUUGGAAUAAAAGGCUGGAUUUACUCUUGGGGAGCAGCUGAUAAUAUUCUGUGGCUGGAGAAAUUAGGUGGAUAUCAAAAUGGAAGACCCUUUACUGAAAAAAAGAACCUGGUUAAAAAAAGUAUUAGUACUUCUCCUAUUUUCAUUCCAGCACCCUUAGUUCAGACAAUUUUUUUUAGACAUUCCAGUUCAGCACAGUGUCUUUUCAUCCAGUUCUUAUCACUAUCCAGUAGGAGAAGAAAGAAGAAAAGAUUAAUAAAGAAAUAAUGCAUAUGUGGCACAUAUUCUCUCUCACCCAUUUUAUCAGUCUUAAAUAAUUUAGGGCAGGAAAACUUUCAUAGGAUUUUCUAAUUCACAAAUGCUCUAAAACACACACCUCAAGAAUGUGCUAGAUUUGCUGUGCAGUCUCUUGCCCCUAUGAUGUAUAAUUUAAAUGAGGACUGUACUUGGUAAGGGAGUAGAGUGAAUGCGCUAUAAGCCAGCUAUUGAUACUUCCCAAAUAGCCACUCUCUGCUUAUUAAAAGAUGAUGAGGCAAACCAGUAUCUUAUAGGAGCCAGAUCUGGUGGGAAAGUAAAUUGAUUCUCUUCCUUCACUUGGAUGGAAGCAAAGGAGUUCUCUUGCAUUCAUCCGAGAAAUAAGACUUUCUUAAUACAAAGAGGAUAUUCUAAUUCAAAACUUUAAAACAAAUAAGAUAGACAAAUGAGCAUUGAACAAAUAAAACAACCCUUGAAAUCUGGUGUAGCCCAAAUGGCACUGCACUUAGGCCCCAAAAUCUAUCCCAGAUAUGUCACUUACUAGUUUUGAGUCCUUUGGCAAUGUAAUCACGUUAAGCCUCAAACUGUACAAUCCUAACACAGAAUGGGAGGUGCAUCCAAACUCUACCUCCAUUACUAUUUUGUUAGGAGGAUAAAAUGAGAUAAUGCACAUGAAAUCACUUUGUAAAGCCUUGAGCACUGUGCUGAUGUAAGACAUUAUUUUUGUACUGAUACCUAUUAUGAGAAAAAUAAAAGAUUAAUUCAAGAUUA